GAGUUUGAUCUUGGCUCAGAUUGAACGCUGGCGGCAUGCCUAACACAUGCAAGUCGAACGGCAGCGCGGGUAGCAAUACCUGGCGGCGAGUGGCGGACGGGUGAGGAAUGCAUCGGAAUCUGCCCGGUUGUGGGGGAUAACUCACCGAAAGGUGAGCUAAUACCGCAUGAGACCGAGAGGUGAAAGCGGGGGACCGAAAGGCCUCGCGCGAUCGGAUGAGCCGAUGCCGGAUUAGCUAGUUGGUAGGGUAAAGGCCUACCAAGGCGACGAUCCGUAGCUGGUCUGAGAGGAUGAUCAGCCACACUGGGACUGAGACACGGCCCAGACUCCUACGGGAGGCAGCAGUGGGGAAUAUUGGACAAUGGGCGCAAGCCUGAUCCAGCAAUGCCGCGUGUGUGAAGAAA
RNAcentral lists this ribosomal RNA (404 nucleotides) under uncultured Gammaproteobacteria bacterium. RNAcentral's name for it is "bacterial SSU rRNA". It matches the Rfam family "Bacterial small subunit ribosomal RNA", at positions 9 to 413 of the family's 1533-position model. Lineage: Bacteria; Pseudomonadati; Pseudomonadota; Gammaproteobacteria. The record is from RNAcentral.